Cyanistes caeruleus (blue tit) is the source of this 2025-nucleotide long non-coding RNA. The record is from Ensembl. NCBI's taxonomy places the organism in Eukaryota, Metazoa, Chordata, Aves, Passeriformes, Paridae.
CGGGGGUGAGCGAAGGACGCGGGGACGGGGGAGGGGGACACGGACACACGGGCGUAGAGCGGCCUGGGGCUGCUCCCAGCGCCACUCACCUCAGCGGUUCGCUGGCCCCGGGUGACAACACCGAGGUGGCAUCUGUGAGGUUCAUAGGGUCAUCAUCCCCCCUGUCCCCAAAAAAGACCCUGGGGGUGCAUCCCCUAUCCCUGUGCAACAGCCCCAAACCCCAGGGGACACACGGGGGACAAGCCCCACCCCCGCCUCAAAAGAGAGGGGACCAAGGGGACGUUUGACAGUCAUCGAUCGCCCCCACAUGUCCCCCGGCUCCCGCAGAGGCUUUAAUCAGCGAGCAGAAAUCAAUUAGCUGCCUUUAAGGAGGCAAUUAUUCCUGGGGGCUUUACAAGGCUGGGAAGGGGGAGAGUAUUUGGGGGUGGGGGUGCUGCCAGCUCCGUAUCCCCCCCUCAAAGUUGUCACCAUUAUGUCACCAGCUGUCUCCCUGGUUCUUUUCGCCAUCAUUUUUGUCGCCCCCCCCUCCACACCCCCCUAUUCCUCGUUAUCUUUCUGUUUUAACAAGCGCCUAAAAAUACGCCUGACGAGGUCACGGGCUGCGUGAGUCACCAGCAGCUCAGGGAUGGCGUGGCCCGGGUGGGCAGGGGGCUUUGCGUGGGGACAGGGUGGCCAUGGAGGGGACACAGAGGGAGGACAGGCUCACGCUGGUUGCUUGACUCACCUAGAGGGUCAGGGGACAUCCCCGGUCCUGGCUACUGCAUCCUUGUGGCAGGGACACAGCCCCAGGUCACCUUGUCGCCACAGGACAUCGCGUCCCUUUGGCAUAGCCACCACCCCAGGCCACUGCAUCACUCUGGGCCACUCUGUCCCCAUGGCAAGGCCACCACCCUUGGCCACCACCAGGACAGCCUCAGCACUGCUGUGGGACAGCAGCACUGUAUGGAUGGGCACAGUACCCCAGGUGACACCGGCUGGAGCCCCCGAGGUGCUCCCUGUCCCUGUCCCCAAGCCCUGCACAGGGAGGGGGAGCAGUGCAGCCCCUCAAAGCAGCUCCAUCCACCUGGGCACAGGGAAGGGAUGGACAAAGCUCCAAAGGGCCACGUUUGGGAGUGCAGGAGUCGGGAAAGGGACAAAGGUGGGAGGUGGCAGCAGCAGCGGCUGCCGUGGUUGUGAUGGCAGCAGUGAUGGCAGCAGUGAUUCCAGUGACAGCAGUGACUCCGGUGGUAGUUGUGGUGGCCACAAUGGUGGCAGUGGCUGUUGCAGUGGUGGCUGUAGCGGUGACAGCAGUGGAUGUCACAGCUGCAGUGGUGGCUGCAGUGAUGGUGAUGGCAGUAGCAGCUGUGGUGGCAGCAGUGGUUGCAGUGGCUGUGGUGGCAGCAGUUGUUGCGGUGGUGGUUGCGGUGGUUGCAAUUGCUGCAGUUGUUGCAGUGGUGGCUGCAGUUGUUGCAGUGGUUGCAGUUGUUGCGGUUGUUGCAGUGACAGCGGUGGCUGCAGCUGUUGUGGCAGUGGUUGCAGUUGUGGUGGUUGCAGUGGUUGCGGUUGUUGCAGUUGUUGCGGUUGUUGCAGUUGUUGCGGUUGUUGCAGUUGUGGUUGCAGUGGUUGCAGUGGUUGCAGUGGUUGCAGUUGUGGUGGUGGUGGUUGCGGUUGUUGCAGUUGUUGCAGUUGUUGCGGUUGUUGCAGGGACAGCGGUGGCUGCAGCUGUUGUGGCGGUGGUUGCAGUGGUUGCAGUGGUUGCAGUUAUUGCAGUUGUGGUUGCAGUGGUUGCGGUUGUUGCGGUUGUUGCGGUUGUUGCAGUUGUGGUUGCAGUGGUUGCAGUUGUGGUGGUGGUGGUUGCAGUGGUUGCGGUUGUUGCAGUUGUUGCAGUGGUUGCAGUUGUUGCGGUUGUUGCAGUGACAGCGGUGGCUGCAGCUGUUGUGGCGGUGGCUGCUGCGGUGGCUGCUGCGGUGGCUGCAGCUCCGCUCGCCGCCCGCCGCUCCUCUGCAAAGGUUAAGCAAACAGCAGCUCCCGCAGAAUCGAUGCCGG